CUACGGGCGGCUGCAGUGGGGAAUAUUGGACAAUGGGCGAAAGCCUGAUCCAGCCAUGCCGCGUGUGUGAAGAAGGCCUUCGGGUUGUAAAGCACUUUCAGUGGGGAAGAAAGCCUUGGGGCUAAUACCCUCGAGGAAGGACAUCACCCACAGAAGAAGCACCGGCUAACUCCGUGCCAGCAGCCGCGGUAAUACGGAGGGUGCGAGCGUUAAUCGGAAUUACUGGGCGUAAAGCGCGCGUAGGCGGUCUGAUAAGCCGGUUGUGAAAGCCCCGGGCUCAACCUGGGAACGGCAUCCGGAACUGUCAGGCUAGAGUGCAGGAGAGGAAGGUAGAAUUCCCGGUGUAGCGGUGAAAUGCGUAGAGAUCGGGAGGAAUACCAGUGGCGAAGGCGGCCUUCUGGACUGACACUGACGCUGAGGUGCGAAAGCGUGGGUAGCAAACAGGAUUAGAUACCCCAGAAGUC
RNAcentral lists this ribosomal RNA (464 nucleotides) under Vreelandella stevensii. RNAcentral describes it as "partial 16S ribosomal RNA". It matches the Rfam family "Bacterial small subunit ribosomal RNA", at positions 339 to 795 of the family's 1533-position model. Lineage: Bacteria; Pseudomonadati; Pseudomonadota; Gammaproteobacteria; Oceanospirillales; Halomonadaceae. The record is from RNAcentral.